GCACGGAGUUGUGUAAAGGUGAAUGGGGUUUUAACAGAUUUCUUUGAAGUGGAGAGGUCAGUGAGGCAGGGAUGUCCUCUGUCUGCGUUAUUGUACGCUUUACCUGUAGAGCCACUGGCCACACUUAUCAAGAGGGACAAGGGGGUGGAAGGGAUAAAGUUACCAUAUGGGGGAAGGUGUGUGAUAAAUCACUAUGCGGAUGACACAACGAUCACGGUGAGGGAUGGAGGUAGUGUCAGGAGGGUGAUGGAGAUAGUGGAAGACUAUGGGAGAGCGUCAGGAGCGAAGAUAAACAAAGAAAAGUCAGAAAUAAUGUAUAUAGGAAAGGUUGAGAGAAUAGAGGUAGGUUUGAGGGUAGAAGAGAAGUAUAUAAAGGUAUUGGGUGUGUACCUGGGGGUGGAUAGUAAGGAGGCAAGGGAUGCGACAUGGACCGGGGUGAUCAAUAAAAUUAGAACGGUGUGCACGGCAUGGAGGGGGAGGAAGUUAAGAUUGAAAGGGAAAGUAGUGGUAGUGAAUAGUCUUAUGUUGUCAGUAUGUGUGUACGUGAUGAGUGUGGUUGAGAUGCCAGGCUGGGUGAUGAAUGAUUUAAACAAAAUUGUGUGUGAUUUUAUUUGGGAAGGAAAGGGGGUGAAAAUCGCACAGAAAACACUGGUUGGAAAGAGGCGGAAGGGUGGUUUGAAAUUGAUAGAUCUGGAAACCAAAAAAGUUGCAAUAAGAAUAAAGACUGUGCAAAAGUACAUGGUGGGAAAGUGGCAUUAUGGAUGGAAAGAUCUUUUAAAGAAAUACAUUGAUGAAGUGGGGGGAAUAGGUGAUUAUGGCUGGUACAUGGGUUUUAAGCAAACAAUGACGGUUGGGAUACCUGAGAUAUACAGGGAGGUGUUAGAGGCGUGGAGGAGGUUUCUGCCAAAAGUGCAAUAUGAUUGCGAUGGGUUGAAUAUGUUUGUCAAUUUGCCCCUGUUUUUAAAUGAAAAAUUCAAACAUAACGAGAAAACAUUAUACGAACCCAAAUUUAUAGAAGGAGGCAUUCGGCAAGUUAAAGAUCUUAUUUAUGAGGUCAUCCCAGGUUUCCUCAGGGAUAACUGCAUUUUUGAUUCAGUGUGUGAGAUAGAUGGCAUGGAGGAUAGAGUUAAGGUGAAGAAAAUUCAUGAUAGAAUUAAAAGCAGUAUACCAGGGGAAUGGGCUGGACUGAUUGAAAGUGAAUGUGUGAGUAGGCAAGAAGUACGUAUUCCUGAAUUGUAUGUGAAGGUGGAGGGAGGGAAGUGUGGUAUGGAGAGAAUGAGUGUGAAGAAAGUGUACGAUUGGUUGAUAGGGGAUGUGUUCAAAGAGCCAGCAGCAGUGAAAGUAUGGAAGAGGGUGUUUGUGAACUGGGAGGUGGAAGAUAUAUGGGCAAAUUGUAACAUUAAAUACAACAGUAUUGAGUGUGAGAAUAAUGAUUUUCUUAUUAAACAUAAUAGAAUCUACACAAAUGUAGUAUUGAAUAAAAUAAAUAAUGAGGUUAAUGUGAUUUGUGAUGUCUGUAACAGUGGUCAUGAGAGUUUUUCACACUAUUUUUUGGAUUGUGGGGAAUUGGUUGAUUUCUUUGUAUUUCUAAAAGCACUGAUUAGGGAAAGUUGGAGUGAGGAGUAUGAUUUGGAUGUUGUUUUUGUUUGGGGUAUGUGGGAAAGGGGUGCAUUUUAAUUUGUGCAAUUUUGUUUUAAGUCAUGCCAGACUCGCGGUCCUGUUGAGAAGGAACUAUGCGCACUUUGAGGGACGGAAGGUGAAUGUCAUACAACUGUUUAAAUCCAUUAUGAAGCGGGAUGUGGAUCUGAUGUGC
Molecule: long non-coding RNA, 1813 nt
Organism: Gadus morhua (Atlantic cod)
Lineage: Eukaryota; Metazoa; Chordata; Actinopteri; Gadiformes; Gadidae
Source: Ensembl